GACGAACGCUGGCGGCGUGCUUAACACAUGCAAGUCGAACGGAAAGGCCCUGCUUGCAGGGUGCUCGAGUGGCGAACGGGUGAGUAACACGUGGGUGAUCUGCCCCUUACUUUGGGAUAAGCCUGGGAAACUGGGUCUAAUACUGGAUAGGACCAUGCUGUAGGUGGUGUGGUGGAAAGAUUUUUUCGGUAAGGGAUGAGCUCGCGGCCUAUCAGCUUGUUGGUGGGGUAAUGGCCUACCAAGGCGUCGACGGGUAGCCGGCCUGAGAGGGUGGACGGCCACAUUGGGACUGAGAUACGGCCCAGACUCCUACGGGAGGCAGCAGUGGGGAAUAUUGCACAAUGGCCGCAAGCCUGAUGCAGCGACGCCGCGGGGGGGAUGACGGCCUUCGGGUUGUAAACUCCUUUCAGCCAUGACGAAGCCUCUUUUGGGGUGACGGUAGUGGUAGAAGAAGCACCGGCUAACUACGUG
Molecule: ribosomal RNA, 471 nt
Filed under: uncultured bacterium
Lineage: Bacteria
Description: partial 16S ribosomal RNA
Rfam family: Bacterial small subunit ribosomal RNA
Source: RNAcentral